GGCUACGAGGACGACGCUGGCGGCGUGCUUAACACAUGCAAGUGGAGCGACGAACCGGGGCUUGCCCCGGGGCAGAGCCGCGAACGGGUGAGUAACACGUGGGUAACCUGCCUCAAUGAUUGGGACAACCCGGGGAAACUCGGGCUAAUACCAAAUGUGUUCACUCCUUCCAAGGGGAGUGAGGAAAGGAAGCUUCGGCCUCCGCAUUGAGAUGGGCCCGCGGCCCAUUAGCUUGUUGGUGAGGUAACGGCUCACCAAGGCUUCGAUGGGUAGCUGGUCUGAGAGGACGAUCAGCCACACUGGGACUGAGACACGGCCCAGACUCCUACGGGAGGCAGCAGUGGGGAAUCUUGCACAAUGCGCGAAAGCGUGAUGCAGCAACGCCGCGUGGGGGAAGACGGCCUUCGGGUUGUAAACCCCUUUCAGUUGGGACGAAGCUUCGUCGGUGAAUAGCCGGUUGGAGUGACGGUACCUUCAGAAGAAGCCCCGGCUAACUACGUG
RNAcentral lists this ribosomal RNA (501 nucleotides) under uncultured bacterium. RNAcentral's name for it is "bacterial SSU rRNA". It matches the Rfam family "Bacterial small subunit ribosomal RNA", at positions 33 to 507 of the family's 1533-position model. The record is from RNAcentral.